GACGAACGCUGGCGGCGUGCUUAACACAUGCAAGUCGAACGAAGAGCGAUGGAAGCUUGCUUCUAUCAAUCUUAGUGGCGAACGGGUGAGUAACGCGUAAUCAACCUGCCCUUCAGAGGGGGACAACAGUUGGAAACGACUGCUAAUACCGCAUACGAUCUAACCUCGGCAUCGAGGAUAGAUGAAAGGUGGCCUCUACAUGUAAGCUAUCACUGAAGGAGGGGAUUGCGUCUGAUUAGCUAGUUGGAGGGGUAACGGCCCACCAAGGCGAUGAUCAGUAGCCGGUCUGAGAGGAUGAACGGCCACAUUGGGACUGAGACACGGCCCAGACUCCUACGGGAGGCAGCAGUGGGGAAUCUUCCGCAAUGGACGAAAGUCUGACGGAGCAACGCCGCGUGAGUGAUGACGGCCUUCGGGUUGUAAAGCUCUGUUAAUCGGGGACGAAAGGGCCUUU
RNAcentral lists this ribosomal RNA (454 nucleotides) under Veillonella parvula. RNAcentral describes it as "bacterial SSU rRNA". It matches the Rfam family "Bacterial small subunit ribosomal RNA", at positions 28 to 458 of the family's 1533-position model. Lineage: Bacteria; Bacillati; Bacillota; Negativicutes; Veillonellales; Veillonellaceae. The record is from RNAcentral.